Molecule: ribosomal RNA, 253 nt
Filed under: uncultured bacterium
Lineage: Bacteria
Description: partial 16S ribosomal RNA
Rfam family: Bacterial small subunit ribosomal RNA
Source: RNAcentral
UACGUAGGGGGCAAGCGUUGUCCGGAAUUAUUGGGCGUAAAGCGCGCGUAGGCGGUGCUUUAAGUCUGAUGUGAAAGCCCACGGCUCAACCGUGGUGGGUCAUUGGAAACUGGGUCACUUGAGUGCAGGAGAGGGGAGUGGAAUUCCACGUGUAGCGGUGAAAUGCGUAGAUAUGUGGAGGAACACCAGUGGCGAAGGCGACUCUCUGGACUGUAACUGACGCUGAGGCGCGAAAGCGUGGGGAGCAAACAGG